This is a long non-coding RNA of Dicentrarchus labrax (European seabass), 1220 nucleotides long. RefSeq lists it as uncharacterized. Lineage: Eukaryota; Metazoa; Chordata; Actinopteri; Moronidae. The record is from RefSeq and is a predicted model, not a curated record. The transcript is spliced from 9 exons.
UUAUUGGUCCUUAGCUGUAAGACUCUAGUGUUUACUGUCGGCUUUAUGUCUUUCCUUAAGAAUCUAAAUGCAUUUUGUUGGAUUAAAUGUGUUUUGAUGGGAUUAAUGUGAGCUGGCAGCAGCAGGCCUCCACCACGUGUCUCAUUGCGCAUGUAGAAAAUGCUAAUUAGCCAACGAGCUAAUCUUAACUAUUACUUUUGAGUGAGCUUUACCAUCUCACUGCAGCUCUUCCCCAUGACUGUGAUGAAGUAAAUGUUGGUAGGGACAUCUGAAUACUGUGAAGAAACGCCAACUCCUCUGAUUUCAUGGGGAAACUGCUUUAAAGUUAUUAGCGUUUAAGUUAUCUGCACAGCUCCAGUGCUGUUAGCUGCUGGGUGUGUGCGCCAUUUAAUGUGAUUCAAUAGUUCAAACUAACUAAAGAGAAGUUGCAUCCUUUUAAAACUAGUUUGCUCAAGUUUAAAAUUUAUAUUUCUGAUUGUUGUUUGCAGGCCCGAGGACUGGAUCUCAGCAAAAUGGAGGCUGACAUUAGAUGGUUGGAAAGGAUGACUCGAUGUUUUGAACAUCAUCAAAUACUACACUGGUCUGGAAAAAAUCCAGAGACAUGAGGCAGUCGGAUGGCGCUGAGAGGUGCACUUCAGUUGCCAGACUUUUGAACAACACUAGAGCAGAUGGUGCUCACGUUCGUUGAUCUGGUUCAGAUGAUUGGAUCAGUUACAGGUGAGUUGACUUUUGUGCUUUAAACAUCUUUAACAUGGUCUGAUACAAUGAUGAUCCCAUAGUUCAGCGGAUUAAACCAUGAAGAAUAUUUGCUUGUCUUUCGCUCCUAGCUGAUGUGUCAACUAUAACUAUCUUUUAGCCUUCAAGUGUUUAAAGCGGUAUGAUGACAAAUGUCUUCUCAUCCACAGACAUGAAACCUUGCUGUCAAGAACUAUCACAUUGUGCUGGGAUUGUGGUGGUCAGAGCACAAGAUGUCACACUAGCAUGGUGAUGCCUGUUCACUUGGCUGCUGGUUUAGAAGGAAGAUACAAGAUCAACUGAGGAAGGAGCCUGAUCUCACACACUGAUCUUGGAUGCAGCUGUGAAGCCCUCUGGCCCUGAGAGGAAGCCUGACCUUAAAGUCAAGUGAUGUGCUGUUUGGAAGCAGACCUGAGAGCCUGUGGACAACCCAAGAAGAACAGUGUCAAUAUUGUACAACAUUGUCAAUAAAUACUGAAAAGAAA